GUGGCGGACGGGUGAGGAACGCGUGAGAACCUGCCUCAAGGUCGGGGACAACAGUUGGAAACGACUGCUAAUACCGGAUGAGCCUUCGGGUAAAAGAUUUAUCGCCUAGAGAGGGGCUCGCGUCUGAUUAGCUAGAUGGUGAGGUAAAGGCUUACCAUGGCAACGAUCAGUAGCUGGUCUGAGAGGAUGAGCAGCCACACUGGGACUGAGACACGGCCCAGACUCCUACGGGAGGUAGCAGUGGGGAAUUUUCCGCAAUGGGCGAAAGCCUGACGGAGCAAUACCGCGUGAGGGAGGAAGGCUCUUGGGUUGUAAACCUCAAAACUUAGGGAAGAAAAAAAUGACGGUACCUAAUGUAAGCAUCGGCUAACUCCGUGCCAGCAGCCGCGGUAAUACGGAGGAUGCAAGCGUUAUCCGGAAUCAUUGGGCGUAAAGAGUCCGUAGGUGGCACUUCAAGUCUGCUUUCAAAGACCGAAGCUCAACUUCGGAAAGGGAGUGGAAACUGAAGAGCUAGAGUAUAGUAGGGGUAGAGGGAAUUCCUAGUGUAGCGGUGAAAUGCGUAGAGAUUAGGAAGAACACCAGUGGCGAAGGCGCUCUACUGGGCAUAUACUGACACUGAGGGACGAAAGCUAGGGGAGCGAAAGGGAUUAGAUACCCCUGUAGUCCUA
This 668-nucleotide ribosomal RNA is filed under the name uncultured Chroococcales cyanobacterium. RNAcentral's name for it is "bacterial SSU rRNA". It matches the Rfam family "Bacterial small subunit ribosomal RNA", at positions 95 to 798 of the family's 1533-position model. The record is from RNAcentral. Lineage: Bacteria; Bacillati; Cyanobacteriota; Cyanophyceae; Chroococcales.